RNAcentral lists this ribosomal RNA (869 nucleotides) under Agaricus silvaticus. RNAcentral's name for it is "eukaryotic LSU rRNA". It matches the Rfam family "Eukaryotic large subunit ribosomal RNA", at positions 64 to 921 of the family's 3401-position model. The record is from RNAcentral. Lineage: Eukaryota; Fungi; Basidiomycota; Agaricomycetes; Agaricales; Agaricaceae.
ACUAACAGGAUUCCCCUAGUAACUGCGAGUGAAGCGGGAAAAGCUCAAAUUUAAAAUCUGGCGGUCUUUGGCCGUCCGAGUUGUAAUCUAGAGAAGUAAUGCCCGUGCUGGACCGUGUAUAAGUCUCCUGGGAUGGGGCGUCAUAGAGGGUGAGAAUCCCGUCUUUGACACGGACUACCAGUGCAUUGUGGUAUGCUCUCAAAGAGUCGAGUUGUUUGGGAAUGCAGCUCAAAAUGGGUGGUAAAUUCCAUCUAAAGCUAAAUAUUGGCGAGAGACCGAUAGCGAACAAGUACCGUGAGGGAAAGAUGAAAAGAACUUUGGAAAGAGAGUUAAACAGUACGUGAAAUUGCUGAAAGGGAAACGCUUGAAGUCAGUCGCGUUGGCCGGGAAUCAGCCUUGCUUUUGCAUGGUGUACUUUCUGGUUGACGGGUCAGCAUCAAUUUUGACUGCUGGAAAAGGGCCUGGGGAAUGUGGCAGCUUCGGCUGUGUUAUAGCCCCUGGUCACAUACAGUGGUUGGGAUUGAGGAACUCAGCACGCCGCAAGGCCGGGUUUCGACCACGUUCGUGCUUAGGAUGCUGGCAUAAUGGCUUUAAGCGACCCGUCUUGAAACACGGACCAAGGAGUCUAACAUGCCUGCGAGUAUUUGGGUGGAAAACCCGAGUGCGCAAUGAAAGUGAAAGUUGAGAUCCCUGUCGUGGGGAGCAUCGACGCCCGGACCAGAACUUUUGGGACGGAUCCGCGGUGGAGCAUGUAUGUUGGGACCCGAAAGAUGGUGAACUAUGCCUGAAUAGGGUGAAGCCAGAGGAAACUCUGGUGGAGGCUCGUAGCGAUUCUGACGUGCAAAUCGAUCGUCAAAUUUGGGUAUAGG